Long non-coding RNA from Nycticebus coucang (slow loris), 830 nucleotides. RefSeq lists it as uncharacterized. The transcript has 4 exons. The record is from RefSeq and is a predicted model, not a curated record. Lineage: Eukaryota; Metazoa; Chordata; Mammalia; Primates; Lorisidae.
GACUGAGAGGGAGGCAGAGAGACGGGGCAAUUGACUAUUGCUAACAAGUUAGCCUUGAUGGAGGAGUAAUCAAUUAUCUGCAGCAGCACUUCUCUUUCUCUUUCCUUUCUUUCUCUCCUCUUCUGUGUUCUCUCUCUCCCUCCCUCCCUCCCUCUCUCUCCGCUGCUCCCCCCGUCUCUCUCCUUCUCUCCCACUCCCUCGCCCUCUGUUUCACUCUCUCUCUGUCCAAUGCAGGCGGCUCUAAGUUGGGAAGCUCAUUAAUUAGCGGGCCGGGGGUAGGAGGAGCCGGCUGGAAUUAGCCUGCCUAAUGCGCCUGUCAGUCCGGGCGCUGAGCCGCGCUCGGCCCGAGAUGUUUGUAAAUUACAUUAGCAGCGCCUUUAUUGCACUCGAACCUCGGAUUACUGAAAAGCCACCGCCCCCCCACCCCAAACUGAGAGCCGUUCUCCCGGUUCACCCGCCUCCCGCCCGCCUGGCAGCACCAGCCCAGCGGUCUCAGACUCUCCGACCCGGGAUGUAGAGCUCAAGAAGGGUGGCGGGAACUUCAGCCGGGGAGGGACCCGGCAGCCGUGCGGGCCAGCCAAUAGGGUGCCAGGCAUUGGAAGCCUUCCUUCCAGUUCUCACCGUGCCUCCAUUUGCUGAAGAAGAAAUCCAGGUUACGGUUGUAUCACGCUGGUCAACACGUCAGGAGGACCCGGCCGCAGCCCUGAGGCAGCCUGUCCAGCUCACAGUCCACCUCUUAGGGAUCCCAUGACUGGAAAGAGACAGAAAGUCUCUCAGGCCUCCUUCCUGGAAGCUGACCUGGAGCUGGAUUCCCAAAUAAACAGUAACUA